AGCAGUCGCCGCGGGAAUACAGAGGGUGCGAGCGUUAAUCGGAUUUACUGGGCGUAAAGCGUGUGUAGGUUGUUGUUCAAGUCAGUUGUGAAAUCCCUGGGCUCAACCUGGGAACUGCUUCUGAGACUGAACGACUAGAGUACGGUAGAGGGUGGUGGAAUUUCCGGUGUAGCGGUGAAAUGCGUAGAUAUCGGAAGGAACAUCAAUGGCGAAGGCAGCCACCUGGGCCUGUACUGACACUGAGACACGAAAGCGUGGGGAUCAAACAGGAUUAGAUACCCCAGUAGUCCCUGUCUCUUAUAC
Molecule: ribosomal RNA, 303 nt
Filed under: uncultured bacterium
Lineage: Bacteria
Description: partial 16S ribosomal RNA
Rfam family: Bacterial small subunit ribosomal RNA
Source: RNAcentral